This 795-nucleotide long non-coding RNA is filed under the name Triticum aestivum (bread wheat). RNAcentral's name for it is "long non-coding RNA (TAES_LNC019874)". The record is from RNAcentral. Lineage: Eukaryota; Viridiplantae; Streptophyta; Magnoliopsida; Poales; Poaceae.
GGGCUCGUCUAGCAAAGAUCAACACAAACAAUGUUGUUGACGCCUCAGCUGAUACCAUAGUUCUGUACCCGGAGAACGGAGGCAACCUGCACUGCUUCACGGCGCUGACCCCUUGCGCUGUUCUCGACGUCAUGGGACCCCCUUACAGCAGCGCUGCUGGCAGGGACUGUGCGUACUACAGCGAGACCCCCUUCUCAAACACAGCUGGUGAGUGUUUUCUUCCUGUCUCAAAUUCAGUUUGUGAAGAACAUCUUGAUGCUUAGUUUCUUCUGCGCACUGACGAAAGCGUCCUCUGGUUUCAGGUGUGGCUGACGUGCGGUACUCCUGGCUCAAGGAGAUUCCCAAUACCUUCCGGAUGAAGGGCGUAACGAUGCCGCGGGACUUCGUCGUCUAGGAACCUGCAUGCUGAAGGGCGCUCCCGCCGUCUAGCUUCUUUGUGUAGAUAACAGUUGUAACCUGCGAAAGGCAGGUAGUCAGUCAGUUGUCAGUCGGUCCAACCUAGCUCUCAGGCUAGCAAACUCUUUUUUUUUACCCUUACCCGUUCGUCGGGGUUGAAACUAUCUCAUGUCGUCUGUCAUUAUCUUGUCUUGUGUUGCGAUUUUCUUCGUUCUGGCGUGCGGGGGCAUGGUCGCUCUUUCUUGUUUCCGUGUUGUACGGGGCAGGCGUGCUGUUUGUGCAGCGGGAAUGUUUUUGAUGGUGACCAUGUACCCAAUCAACCCAGAGCGCUGUUGAAAUACCAGAGUGUCGUUUGUUUCACCAUUGUUUCUUUCUUUAUGUGGUUGGUUUGAGUGUUUA